Long non-coding RNA from Etheostoma spectabile (orangethroat darter), 159 nucleotides. RefSeq lists it as uncharacterized. Lineage: Eukaryota; Metazoa; Chordata; Actinopteri; Perciformes; Percidae. The transcript has 2 exons. The record is from RefSeq and is a predicted model, not a curated record.
UCUGUGUGUGUGUACGUGAGAAUGUAUGUGGGUUUUUUUUCUGGGGGAAGAUAAUGACACCUUGUUGGACAUCAUGCAUUCUUGUCUGCAAUCACAAUUUUUUUUUCAGCCUCUCCCACACUUUUGUUUUUGUAGAUGUUUGUCUUUUCUAAAAAGAAA